This is a long non-coding RNA of Lynx canadensis (Canada lynx), 2368 nucleotides long. RefSeq lists it as uncharacterized. NCBI's taxonomy places the organism in Eukaryota, Metazoa, Chordata, Mammalia, Carnivora, Felidae. The transcript is spliced from 3 exons. The record is from RefSeq and is a predicted model, not a curated record.
GCGCCCCACCACCGACACGGUUCUCAACAAGGCCACCGAUGACCAUCUUGUGGCUACAGCACCAAUGACACUGCUGGUCAUCUCUGCCUUCCCUGACACAUUUCCUCAGCUUUUAUGACACAGAGGACCCUCUUCUGGUUUUUCUUCCCAUCGGUCUCCUUGCGGGUCUCUUCCUCAGCUCUCCCCUUGAUGUCGAGCUUCUUGGGGGUUAUGUCCUGCUUUCUCCUCUCUUCCCAUCCUACACGUUCUGCUGAUUGAUUGUUUCUCUUCCCAUGGUCUGAAGUGUUACCUGUGUCCUCUGACGACUCAAAUCUAAGCGUCUAGUCUCGUUCUUUGUCCUGCGUUCCGGGUGUGCAUAAUCCACCCCAGUGCUCCUCUCCAUGCAGUGUGUAUGGAUGCCUCAAACUCAGCAUGUCCCAAAUCGAGCCUUUUAUCCUUCAUCCAUAACCCACUCCUUGACUAUUUCCUGUCUCAAGGGAGUGCAGCCUCUCUCCACCCAGUCACCCUUGACUUCUACGUUUUCCUUGACUUCCCGCCAUCCGACCGGUCACCACGCCCUACAAAUUCUAUGUCCCGAAUGCCUCUGGAGUCUGUGCCUGUGUCCCUUUACCCACUGUGUCCCCCACACCCGGGCUACCAUCAGCUCUCACACAGGUCGCGGUGUCUGCCUCCUGGGUGGCUGUGCCAGGUAUUAGUAGUUUCCAAUCCAUUCUCCAAACGGCAGCUAGAGGAUCUUUUAAAAAUGCACAUUAUCAAGUCACUCCUCUGAUGAAAAUUUCCAGCGGGUUCCACACAUUUAGGAAGAAGUCCAAACUUCUUAAUGUUGUACGGAUUUUCAUGUCUUGGCCCUGACUGCUUGUACUCCCCUCUUCUGCCCCUGCUUGUCUGUGGCAGAUUUUUACCUUCUUCAAGGAAUAAAAUGUGGGGCUGUCUAAACCCCCCUCUGUCCGUGGUGAUUUGACCCACCGCACGCAGUGUGAGCACCUCCCGGUGCAUUCCCAGGGUCGUUGAUGGGCCCCAGGGAGGGGAGGGGUGCAGUCCGGGAAUGUCACCUUCCUUUGGAGCCUGUGGUGAGUGUUUGUGGUCGCAAGACCUCUGGAGUGUCGCCCUGAGGCUUACCAGUUUUAUGUCAUCUUAACUAAGAAAGAGGGAGGGGACGAGGGUGGUGGACGCUUCCCUGUUUAAAAGCACCAAACCCGACAAAAUUUAUGUGGACGUUGUAAUGAUUACUACGCUGAAUUAAUGAACUCUAUCCUCUCCUUUUUUUUGGCUGGAGGAACAUAACAAUCCCAAUGAAAGGAAACAGAUGUCGUUGCUUUGAGCAUUUCCAAAGGAAACUGCAGUAAAAUAUGAAGCAUCACCGUAUAAAAGCCUGCUGUGUAGCGGAGAUGUGCUGAUAUUGUUUUCAUUUGCCAGCUGUGUGUAAGUGGAGUUGGUGCCUCUGGCCAACACAGCCCCCACAUCAGAGUCAUAACAACGACAAAGUCAUGGAAACGUUCGGGGAGAAACUCAAACUGCUUCUCAGCGUGCUCGGCUUUCCUUUUAACGAAAAGCCACGUAAAAGAAAGGAAUUCACUUCCUGAGCCUUGCACAGCUUCAUGAGCCUGGCAUGCGUAUGAGAACAGAACCUAGCAAUCUGAGAAGGGAAAAUGACGGCUUGCACAACUGUGGCUUGAAACCACAACUGGUGAUUUUGUCAGCACAAGGGGCUCCUGGGACUCGGGCCCGGCGUGGCAGGGAGCUGAGACCGCUGAGGCAUUCACUCCCAGUACUUCCAGGAUGGGAUCUUAAAGAGCGGACUGAAAAAAGUGUUUUGUGGUGGCCACAUGGCCUUGAACUCUGGAUUAAAAAAGAAAGUAAAGGGAAUUUGGGAUCUGAGGAUGAGCCCAGGAUCGGAGCAUCCACAGAAGGUCUUUGUUCAGGUGAUCCUUUUCUAGAAAUGGGAUGUCCAACUGACCAGCACAGACCCGGGUUCUCUCUCCGAUCCUGUCUGCAAGAAUAUCCACAGCUCUAACGUGUUGGUGGGUGUACGUGGAAAGGAGGUUGUACAAAGACCCAGAGAGUAGAGGCUCUGAUUUGUGGUGUUCUCAAGGGCAAGCCUGCACCUUGACAGCUUCCAGGUGUUGAGAAUCAAGUUCUUCGGAGUCACCAUCUCUUGUCCUUUUCAACUAUGCAAGGCAAGUAUUAAUUUCCAUUGACUACACUUUAUACCCAAGAUGACUAAGUUACUGAGUUUCCCAUGGGCUUUGUAUAACCAGUACCUAGCACAACAGGUAUACGUUGAUUUCCAUUUAAUUUCAUUUCUCUUUACCUUCUCAAAUCUUUCAGCUUGGUAUUUCUGUGGGCACAAGGAAACACACUCUAUUCU